This 510-nucleotide ribosomal RNA is filed under the name uncultured bacterium. Its description in RNAcentral is "partial 16S ribosomal RNA". It matches the Rfam family "Bacterial small subunit ribosomal RNA", at positions 28 to 507 of the family's 1533-position model. The record is from RNAcentral.
GACGAACGCUGGCGGCGUGCUUAACACAUGCAAGUCGAACGAAGAGCGAUGGAAGCUUGCUUCUAUCCAUCUUAGUGGCGAACGGGUGAGUAACGCGUAAUCAACCUGCCCUUCAGAGGGGGACAACAGUUGGAAACGACUGCUAAUACCGCAUACGAUCUGACCUCGGCAUCGAGGAUAGAUGAAAGGUGGCCUCUACAUGUAAGCUAUCACUGAAGGAGGGGAUUGCGUCUGAUUAGCUAGUUGGAGGGGUAACGGCCCAUCAAGGCGAUAAUCAGUAGCCGGUCUGAGAGGAUGAACGGCCACAUUGGGACUGAGACACGGCCCAGACUCCUACGAGAGGCAGCAGCGGGGAAUCUUCCGCAAUGGACGAAAGACUGACGGAGCAACGCCGCGUGAGGGAUGACGGCCGUCGGGUUGUAAAGCUCUGUUAAUCGGGACGAAAGGCAUUUUUGCGAAUAGUUAGAAGGAUUGACGGUACCGGAAUAGAAAGCCACGGCUAACUACGUG